GGAUAGCUGGAGCCCAUUACGAGUUCUAUCAGGUAAAGCCAAUGAUUAGAGGCAUUGGGGACGCAACGUCCUCGACCUAUUCUCAAACUUUAAAUAGGUAGGAUGGCUCGGCUGCUUCGGUGAGCCGUGCCACGGAAUCGGGUGCUCCAAGUGGGCCAUUUUUGGUAAGCAGAACUGGCGAUGCGGGAUGAACCGGAAGCCGGGUUACGGUGGCCCACUGCGCGCUAACCUAGAACC
Non-coding RNA from Hordeum vulgare subsp. vulgare (domesticated barley), 237 nucleotides. Lineage: Eukaryota; Viridiplantae; Streptophyta; Magnoliopsida; Poales; Poaceae. The record is from Rfam.